RNAcentral lists this ribosomal RNA (287 nucleotides) under uncultured bacterium. Its description in RNAcentral is "partial 16S ribosomal RNA". It matches the Rfam family "Bacterial small subunit ribosomal RNA", at positions 333 to 612 of the family's 1533-position model. The record is from RNAcentral.
AUGUGCCUACGGGGGGCAGCAGUAGGGAAUCUUCCACAAUGGACGAAAGUCUGAUGGAGCAACGCCGCGUGAGUGAAGAAGGGUUUCGGCUCGUAAAGCUCUGUUGGUAGUGAAGAAAGAUAGAGGUAGUAACUGGCCUUUAUUUGACGGUAAUUACUUAGAAAGUCACGGCUAACUACGUGCCAGCAGCCGCGGUAAUACGUAGGUGGCAAGCGUUGUCCGGAUUUAUUGGGCGUAAAGCGAGUGCAGGCGGGUCCAUAAGUCUUGUGUGAAAAGCUUCUGCUCAA